RNAcentral lists this ribosomal RNA (253 nucleotides) under uncultured bacterium. Its description in RNAcentral is "partial 16S ribosomal RNA". It matches the Rfam family "Bacterial small subunit ribosomal RNA", at positions 524 to 776 of the family's 1533-position model. The record is from RNAcentral.
UACAGAGGUCUCAAGCGUUGUUCGGAUUCAUUGGGCGUAAAGGGUGCGUAGGCGGCGCGGCAAGUCGGGUGUGAAAUCCUGGAGCUCAACUCCAGAACUGCCUUCGAUACUGGCGAUCUCGAGUUCGGGAGAGGUGAGUGGAACUGCGAGUGUAGAGGUGAAAUUCGUAGAUAUUCGCAAGAACACCAGUGGCGAAGGCGGCUCACUGGCCCGAUACUGACGCUGAGGUGCGAAAGCGUGGGGAGCAAACAGG